GACGAACGCUGGCGGCGUGCCUAAUACAUGCAAGUAGAACGCUGAAGAGAGGAGCUUGCUCUUCUUGGAUGAGUUGCGAACGGGUGAGUAACGCGUAGGUAACCUGCCUUGUAGCGGGGGAUAACUAUUGGAAACGAUAGCUAAUACCGCAUAACAAUGGAUGACACAUGUCAUUUAUUUGAAAGGGGCAAUUGCUCCACUACAAGAUGGGCCUGCGUUGUAUUAGCUAGUAGGUGAGGUAAUGGCUCACCUAGGCGACGAUACAUAGCCGACCUGAGAGGGUGAUCGGCCACACUGGGACUGAGACACGGCCCAGACUCCUACGGGAGGCAGCAGUAGGGAAUCUUCGGCAAUGGGGGCAACCCUGACCGAGCAACGCCGCGUGAGUGAAGAAGGUUGUCGGAUCGUAAAGCUCUGUUGUAAGUCAAGAACGGGUGUGAGAGUGGAAAGUUCACACUGUGACGGUAGCUUACCAGAAAGGGACGGCUAACUACGUG
RNAcentral lists this ribosomal RNA (497 nucleotides) under uncultured bacterium. Its description in RNAcentral is "partial 16S ribosomal RNA". It matches the Rfam family "Bacterial small subunit ribosomal RNA", at positions 28 to 507 of the family's 1533-position model. The record is from RNAcentral.